CAGAGAGUAGUUUAAUGUAAGAUAUCAGCUUUGGGAGCUGGAGAUAGAGGUUUAAGUCCUCUCUUUCUGA
RNAcentral lists this transfer RNA (70 nucleotides) under Gavia stellata (red-throated loon). Its description in RNAcentral is "tRNA-Pro". It matches the Rfam family "tRNA". From Rfam's summary of the family: Transfer RNA (tRNA) molecules are approximately 80 nucleotides in length. The record is from RNAcentral. Lineage: Eukaryota; Metazoa; Chordata; Aves; Gaviiformes; Gaviidae.